Long non-coding RNA from Juglans microcarpa x Juglans regia, 1136 nucleotides. RefSeq lists it as uncharacterized. The transcript is spliced from 3 exons. Lineage: Eukaryota; Viridiplantae; Streptophyta; Magnoliopsida; Fagales; Juglandaceae. The record is from RefSeq and is a predicted model, not a curated record.
CAAUUAUUUAUUUGAUGUAGAUUGCAAAUAUUACAUUUUUUGAACGAAAGAUGCACCCAAGAUUCUUUCUCAGUCAUGAGUUUGUCUUGCUAGUAUUUUUCUAGUCUUGUACCAUGCUUGCGCAUUAUGUUUUCUUGUAUUCUCACUUGAAUUAGGCUUUUUCUCGGAUUUUUCAAACAUUAAUUGCUCUUUCUAGACUUUUUUUCUGCAUCUUUUCCGCAUUGAGGUAGAUAAGUCUAUGACUAUUUAACCAGCCAGCAGACCUCAGUACCCGAUGGCCUUACUUCUCAGGUUCAUAUAGAAAUCCUGAGAUCUCUAGGCUGUCCAUCAGAACAAAAUGAUUGAUUAUCUUAUUUCAGGUUUGUCUUUAUAAAUAUAGAUAUAUACAAAAUUGAUGAUGUUUAUAAAAUUAUACGGAGUAGAACAUAUAUAUACAUAAAUAGAAUAACUGUUCCCAGUGCAUUUUAUUAUUGUGCCAAGAAUAAAAUUGCUUUGAAAAUUGGUUGUAUUGGCUUCAGGAUACAUUCACUCGAGCCAAACAAUGGGUUCAAGAAUUGCAUAGACAAUGUGAGGUCAUCAAAACUGCUUUCAACAUUUCUGAAGUCCGCUUUAACUGAAACUCCUCACAAAGCAUCACCAGCAACUCCAUGCUAGACCAAGCAGGGGAGUAGCUAAAUCAUAAUCUGAUUCACCCUCUCCUUUGCAAAGUUCACGCCUUUCAGUUGAUACGUCUCCACUGGUUCCCUCGAAGCCCACCAUAAGAUCACCAAAACUUGCUACCCCACCUGAAGUCACUGCAAUUAAAACUAAUAACCUUUUUGUGGAGACAUCUUCCUUGCCAAGGUUGGGAUGGAGUGCGGCGUCGGGAUUUUGCAAAGUAAGGCAUGCACUUAAAAUUAUAUUGUUUAGAAUGUUGAGGUUAUAAAGUCUAGUGGUCCUGAUUAUUGUGCUUGAAACUUGGGGUAGGGCUUUUAAAAACAACCUUUUUGCUUUAUGUAUUUCAGACUAGAGAAUUUUGAGGCUAAUUCAUUUGUUUGAUAUGUCAAAGGUCAUGCUUGUUGAUUCUUUGAGCUUAUGUGCCUUAGUAGAGGUUCUGACAGUGUGUAAGUAAGGGUUGAUGCACGAUGUUUCUUUUA